RNAcentral lists this ribosomal RNA (253 nucleotides) under uncultured bacterium. RNAcentral describes it as "partial 16S ribosomal RNA". It matches the Rfam family "Bacterial small subunit ribosomal RNA", at positions 524 to 776 of the family's 1533-position model. The record is from RNAcentral.
UACGGAGGGGGCUAGCGUUGUCCGAAGUUACUGGGCGUAAAGCGCGCGUAGGCGGGUUGGUAAGUCCGCUGUGAAAGCCCGGAGCUUAACUCCGGAGGGUCGGUGGAUACUGCCAGUCUUGAAGGUGCUAGGGGGAGAUGGAAUUACCGGUGUAGCGGUGAAAUGCGUAGAUAUCGGUAGGAACACCAGUGGCGAAGGCGGUUCUCUGGGAAUAUCCUGACGCUGAGGAGCGAAAGUGUGGGGAGCGAACAGG